AUGCCGCUGUGCCCCUUGCCGCAGCGCCGCCGCCGUUGUUUACCACCGCAACCAACCACCGUGGGCAGGGAGCUAUUGCCGCUGCUGCCAGCUCCUGGGUGCCGCUCAAGCCGCCGAUCCUGCCGCCCAAAACUUUGCUGCCAUUGCUGGAGAACUCUGCCGUCGAUCCACCGGAGCUUCUGGCCGUCGCCAGAGCUGUUGCUGGGGCCGGUUCAAGAUCGCAGCUGCUUCGUGUUGUUAUUCCGAGUUGGUUAUGCUGCUGCAAAAAAAAGUGUGGGGCUGUGCUUUGAAGCUGCCUUUGAUUUCGAGUUGAGGCGAAAAGAACUUAUGAGGCGUUUGGAUUAUGAAUUUGCGUUGAGUAAUUCCCAAAAACCCUCUACUGAGAACCCUUUCGAGGAUGAUGUUCUCACUCCCCUUACAUUUUUCCCCCUUUCAGGAUAUGGGCGCAGAAGUCACGAAGAGUUUAUUUAAUUAUUUUUGAGAUGUUUUGUAUUGCUUUAGAUUAUUAUUUAUUGUACCCUCGCCUUUAUCUUGAUAUAUUUUGUAAGAGGGAUAAGGAUUGUAUUAGUUA
Molecule: long non-coding RNA, 571 nt
Organism: Arachis duranensis
Lineage: Eukaryota; Viridiplantae; Streptophyta; Magnoliopsida; Fabales; Fabaceae
Exons: 4
Source: RefSeq, a predicted model, not a curated record